GGACGAACGCUGGCGGCGUGCUUAACACAUGCAAGUCGAACGGAAAGGCCCUGCUUUUGUGGGGUGCUCGAGUGGCGAACGGGUGAGUAACACGUGAGUAACCUGCCCUUGACUUUGGGAUAACUUCAGGAAACUGGGGCUAAUACCGGAUAGGAGCUCCUGCUGCAUGGUGGGGGUUGGAAAGUUUCGGCGGUUGGGGAUGGACUCGCGGCUUAUCAGCCUGUUGGUGGGGUAGUGGCUUACCAAGGCUUUGACGGGUAGCCGGCCUGAGAGGGUGACCGGCCACAUUGGGACUGAGAUACGGCCCAGACUCCUACGGGAGGCAGCAGUGGGGAAUAUUGCACAAUGGGCGGAAGCCUGAUGCAGCAACGCCGCGUGCGGGAUGACGGCCUUCGGGUUGUAAACCGCUUUCGCCUGUGACGAAGCGUGAGUGACGGUAAUGGGUAAAGAAGCACCGGCUAACUACGUG
RNAcentral lists this ribosomal RNA (469 nucleotides) under uncultured bacterium. RNAcentral describes it as "partial 16S ribosomal RNA". It matches the Rfam family "Bacterial small subunit ribosomal RNA", at positions 27 to 507 of the family's 1533-position model. The record is from RNAcentral.